Molecule: long non-coding RNA, 1171 nt
Filed under: Ursus maritimus (polar bear)
Lineage: Eukaryota; Metazoa; Chordata; Mammalia; Carnivora; Ursidae
Description: lncRNA (ENSUMAG00000012055.1)
Source: RNAcentral
GUAGUUCGUGGACUAUCAGAGCCGGGAGGACCUCCGAGGCCAGGCUCUCAUUUUACAAAGGAGACCCAGGCUUACGAAGAGAAAGUGACCGGCCCAGAGUCACACAGCUAGAUCGGGAGUCCAGUGUUGGCCUGUUAAUACACGUCACCUUAGCUCACCUUUUGGGUGUUUCCAGCAUGUGCUGUUGUCUUUAUUUUUCUGACUGACACAUUCCUGGCACUCAGGCGGUAGGACUGCAGGAGACUUAUUAGAAACCGUAUUUGGGCCUGGCUCUAGUUUCACUGCAUGGAGAGUUAGACACACAUCCCCACUUUGCUGCAAAUGUCACCCUGACCCAGCCCUGUGCCCAAAGGCCCCGAUCUCUCGUAGAUUCCCCGGGGAAGCCUGGGUGGAAGGUACCCUGGGACCCUCCACGGAGCCUUCUGUUGGAGCGGCAGGCUGAGGAGCCUUCCUACCGGCGCUCCUUCCGUCUACUGUUAAGGGCUCCUGGUCCCGGGGCUGGUCAGCCAUGGGCAUUCUGGCUUGGGUACCUUCUCUCUCUGGUCCCUGGAGUCCUGUCCUGGCCCUCUUGCCCAGGACGAGGCCCACCUCUCCAAACCCUCUCUCUUGCUGGCCUACUUUACCAUCUCCUCAGCAUUCCCUGGCUCCGGGAGCUCGGGCUUACAGGCCGGUGUCUCAUCCACCCGCGUGUCAGCCGCACCUCUCCACUAAGGUGGGGACGGCUUCGAGGGCCGGGGCCGAGGGGGCCUGUCCCCAGCGUGGUGCUGAGUGCGGAGCGUGGGGCUGGCGCACGGAGUAACUGGGCGCCCCUUGAGCCGGGUGAGGGAUGCCGUUCUGCAAGACCCAGGGGUGGCUUCGGCCAGGAGGGGGGCACGGGACACGCAGGCCUCCGUCCCCACGAGCGCCGUUUGUGUUCUCUUGGCAGGGUGCAACCUGAAGAUCUUCAACAACCAGGAGUUUGCCGCCCUCCUGGCGCAGUCGGUGAACCAGGGCUUCGAGGCGGUCUACCAGCUGACCCGCAUGUGCACCAUCCGCAUGAGCUUUGUCAAGGGCUGGGGCGCAGAGUACAGGAGACAGACCGUGACCAGCACCCCCUGCUGGAUCGAGCUGCACCUGAAUGGGCCUUUGCAGUGGCUUGACAAGGUCCUCACCCAGAUGGGCUCCCCGACCG